This 67-nucleotide transfer RNA is filed under the name Hygrotus inaequalis. RNAcentral describes it as "tRNA-Phe". It matches the Rfam family "tRNA". From Rfam's summary of the family: Transfer RNA (tRNA) molecules are approximately 80 nucleotides in length. Their secondary structure includes four short double-helical elements and three loops (D, anti-codon, and T loops). Lineage: Eukaryota; Metazoa; Arthropoda; Insecta; Coleoptera; Dytiscidae. The record is from RNAcentral.
AUUUAGAUAGCUUAAUUGGAGAGCACAAUAUUGAAGAUAUUGGGGUGAUUAAUAUAAUCUUUAAAUA